This is a long non-coding RNA of Vicia villosa (hairy vetch), 1729 nucleotides long. RefSeq lists it as uncharacterized. Lineage: Eukaryota; Viridiplantae; Streptophyta; Magnoliopsida; Fabales; Fabaceae. The record is from RefSeq and is a predicted model, not a curated record. The transcript is spliced from 9 exons.
AAAAAAGCGAAAACAUACCUACGUUUCUCCUCUAGCAAAAUCAAAAUCAAAAUCGAAGCUUGUACUUCUCCGUUUUUGCUCUCGCAAAAUCAAUUUCUCGCAACUCUCGCAAAAAUCGAAGCUCGUACUUCUCCGUUUCUACUCUUGCAAAAUCAAUUUCUCACAACUCUCGCAAAAUCGAAGCUCGUACUUCUCUGUUUCUACUCUCGCAAAAUCAAUUUCUCACAACUCUCGCAAAAUCAAAGCUCGUACAGAUUGUUGAAGUUUUAUAGUUCAUUGGUAAGAAAGAAGGUCUGCAACUUCCUCCUACUUUUGCUGCUCGCAUAGCAAAGAAAUCUAACCGGAAUUUAAGGAGGGCCAUAUUGUCAUCUGAGACUUGCCGUGUCCAACAGUAUCCUUUAACUGACAAGCAAACAAUUUCACCAAUGGACUGGGAAGAAUAUAUUUCUGAAAUUGCAUCUGACAUAAUGAAGGAACAGAGUCCAAAAAGGCUGUUUCAAGUUCGGGGAAAGCUGUAUGAGUUGCUGAUCAAUUGCUUUCCUCCAGAGAAGUGUAUCGUGGAAGUUGCUGUAACUCGACUUCAAAAGUAAGUUAUGAUAUCAAAUAUAUGGAAGAAUUAAGAUUUAUGCGUCUGGAAUUGUGAUCUGAUUAUGCAGCAGCUGCAAGCUAAGGCUAUCAAUUCAGAUAGGGCUGGUCUGGUGCAGCGAAAAAAGCCUACCCUUUUGCGGCUGAAAUGCAAUUCAGACACAUCUCUUGCUUGUCCUCAAAAUCAGGAUUCAUUGAUGUUCUAUUAAAGGACACAACUAAAUUUAAUGAGAUGGGAUACUGAGAGGUAUUUAUUAGUAGAACAGCUUUUUGAUGUGAUUUAUAAGCAUCUUGAUCAGGGUAGCAUGUCUAGCAUUUCAAUGCCAAGGUGAGUGUUUCUGUUUUUAUCCAUUUUAUAAUUUUAAUGAAGAAUCUUUUGGUAGUUUAAGAUGAUCCUAAUGAACAUUCUACUCAGGGGUGAUGGAAAUAAGAAUGUUAAAUCUGGAACUUUGAGUAGCUCACAACGUGGCUUAGUGGAACUUGAAGCGGUUUUAUUUGUUUUGAGCAGGAUACCCACUUAACUUUGGGCUUCUCUUUAUCCUUAGUUACACUUGUGUUGAGAUUGACAUGAUUUUACCAUUUGCAAAGUUAUUACCCAAGUGUUAAAUUAGCUUGUCCAGUAGUUUCAUAACUUAUUUCAUGUAUCUUAUUUAAUUUUAUGAAUGUGAUGUUCAGGACAUUGCACAAGAAGCUGUGAAGAAGACAGAAAACUAGAUGGAUGUUUAAAAACUGACGAAAGCAGCACUGAGUCAUUCUACCUGUUCAUGAAGAAUGGAAAGCCACUGCUAAAUUUUUUUAAAGUCUCACUCAUAAACCAGGUACUUUGAUCCUGCCAGGUUUCUCUGCACUGACAGUGUGCAGUUGAGAAGUAUGAUGGGUGAAACAGCUAUGUUGCAUUGAUGGGAGCCCGACCGGAUGUUCAGAACGAAGUUCUUUGUUGUUUUGCCCUUCCAGCUAGAUAGCAUGGAGAUUUGUUAUAUUUUAAGUUGUUGUGAAAUAUAUAUUUACAGUUUAGCUAAUCAUGAACCAACCACUCAUAGGAUGUCAUAAAAAGAUGUUUGAAUUCUGUCAUGAACCUACUUGUCUUUGUUCAACAUUACCAAAACUCAUUCAAAACAAUUGUCAACAAUAGAUAUUUGUAUCA